This 246-nucleotide ribosomal RNA is filed under the name uncultured Burkholderiales bacterium. Its description in RNAcentral is "partial 16S ribosomal RNA". It matches the Rfam family "Bacterial small subunit ribosomal RNA", at positions 90 to 339 of the family's 1533-position model. Lineage: Bacteria; Pseudomonadati; Pseudomonadota; Betaproteobacteria; Burkholderiales. The record is from RNAcentral.
GACGAGUGGCAAACGGGUGAGUAAUACAUCGGAACGUGCCCAGUAGUGGGGGAUAGCCCGGCGAAAGCCGGAUUAAUACCGCAUACGACCUACGGGUGAAAGCGGGGGACCGAAAGGCCUCGCGCUAUUGGAGCGGCCGAUGGCUGAUUAGCUAGUUGGUGGGGUAAAGGCCUACCAAGGCUACGAUCAGUCGCUGGUCUGAGAGGACGACCAGCCACACUGGGACUGAGACACGGCCCAGACUCC